UUAUUAUACUUUAUAUAAUUUCAAUAUCUAAAUGUUUUUGGCCACAUUUAGCAAGAACAUUGUGUUUAUUAUUUUAUAGUUUUAAAUGGAUUGUUUAUUUAGAUCAGUGAGUCUCAAUGUGGAGUCUGGGAUUUUAUUAAAUAAUUAUAAUGAAAUGUAAUAAUACCUCUCCAUUAUCACAGUUAUUGUGUAUCACAAAAUCUUUUGAUUAUAUGAACCUGUUUGGUUGUUCUUGUAAAUGAAAAAGUUCAUCUAAUACGUCAAAUUUGAUGAAUUAAAAUGUUAUUGUAUACAUUUGAAUAAAAGCUUCCGGUCCAGAAAAUCAGACGAGUAAACCUGACCAUCAGCAGAGUGAAGAGAAUGGAUUGACCCUUUUGCCGUUUCUCAUCUUAUCAGUAAUAAUAAACUGCAUUCUGAUCAUCACAGUUACAGGAGAAUAGCCUCUCGUACCGCGACCCAGGAACAGCUUCUCAGACCUUCUGGUGCCGACUCUUUGGCCAUACUCAACACUGCACUCAACACUCAACACUCAACACUCAACACUGCACUCAACACUCAACACUCCCUUGUCCUGGUGAUCAUCAGCCUUGGGGCAGGGGUUCUCGCCCAGGCUCAUCCACACGACAACACCUUCUGGUUAUAUACUCUUUUCGGUCAUUGGGCACCAUACGUUUCCUUGAUAAUCCCGAUUGUUGUUGUUUUCCUGCUUUUGUGCUUAUUUGGACCAUGUAUUGUUCAAUGUAUCCACUAAUCAUUUACCCGUAUGCUUUCUGAUUAUCAAUCUGUCCCUCGUGUACCUGAAUAUUAUCCUAUUCCCAUGCGACAUGUUUGAUUGUUUUAAAUUGUGAUUUAUCCAUUAAUAGUUUAUCAUGGAUAAAAGAGGGGAUGGUAUCUUGUUAAUUACUUUAUACACUUGUCAUUUUGGGUUUGUUUUUUGUUUUUUACAACUUUUUAAACACUUUAUUUUAAAGCAUUUUUUUAAAUAGCAGCUUCUAUGAAAGAAAUUAUAAUAAUUAGUGUGAACAUGCAUGUUUUUAUUCCGGUCUAUUUUUGUUGAGUGAUAAAUAAAUUGGAGAAAACGUGA
Molecule: long non-coding RNA, 1084 nt
Organism: Silurus meridionalis
Lineage: Eukaryota; Metazoa; Chordata; Actinopteri; Siluriformes; Siluridae
Exons: 2
Source: RefSeq, a predicted model, not a curated record